CUAUUAGUAAUUAUUUUGUACAACAGCCCAACUACAUAAUAACAAUAAUAUAAACACUUAUCUCAUUUUAGGGUUUAACACAAUUGAGCGGCGCCGCUAUCUCCAGAUCUACCCUUUUCCUCUUCUCCCUCGUUGCAUCUUUCUCCCCUUCAAUUCCAUCUUUCUCCAUAUUCACCUUCUCUCUCGUCGUCUGCCAUAUUAUCGAGUAUCGCUUUCUUUGGCAACUCCCAAAAAUAAAACCCUAGCUUUCGCCCCAUCUCCCCUCUUAUCUCUGAAAUUCAUGUCGGUGACUCCUUACGACCACCCCCCCCACCGCCCUUCGUGUUUCAAACGACGGCGUCGCCCAAGCCCAAGCCGCUCCAGAUCUCGGCCUUCUCCCUCUACUGCAUAUUUGCAUAUUUAAUUCCAGUUCCAGCGCUCCAGAUCUCGGCCUUCUCCCUCGACUGCAUCUUUAAUUCCAAUUCCAGCGUUUUUAUAAUGAUUAAGAUCUAUUUGUUUUUUUCGUUUAUUAGUUUUCAUUUUUUAAUUUUUCUUUUUUUGUUUUAUAGUAUCAGUUUUGUAGAUCUAGGAAUAUCGUUUGAAAAGUUUUUUUUUUUGGAAGAUGCUUUGUUUUUUAAUACUGAAUAAGAUCUAUAUUUUUUUUCCAUAUUAGUUUUUUCGUUUUGAGUUAUAUUUUUGUGUCUAUGGUAUUAUUAUGUUAGAUCUAUGAAUAUCUACACAAAUUGUUAAGUUACAGAAUAGUUUUUUUUUGGUGUCUCUGUUGUGCUCUUUUUAGACUUGAUGAUUACUUUGUUUUAUGGCAUUUUGAAUCUAAUUUGAGUUAAUUUGCAGAUUAACAGUUAUAUGCUACCAUCUCUCACGUCACUCCUCACUCUUCACCUUUCAUAUGCACUCUGAGUUUCGCCACCUCCACCACUAUAAGAUUCUGUGCUCCAUUGGCGUUUGCGGAUUCUAUGCUCCAAUCUUGAUC
Salvia miltiorrhiza (redroot sage) is the source of this 970-nucleotide long non-coding RNA. RefSeq lists it as uncharacterized. The record is from RefSeq and is a predicted model, not a curated record. NCBI's taxonomy places the organism in Eukaryota, Viridiplantae, Streptophyta, Magnoliopsida, Lamiales, Lamiaceae. The transcript is spliced from 2 exons.